CCUACGGGGGGCUGCAGUGAGGAAUAUUGGUCAAUGGGCGCGAGCCUGAACCAGCCAAGUCGCGUGAGGGAAGACGGUCCUAUGGAUUGUAAACCUCUUUUGUCGGGGAGCAAAAGACGCCACGCGUGGCGUUCCGAGAGUACCCGAAGAACAAGCAUCGGCUAACUCCGUGCCAGCAGCCGCGGUAAUACGGAGGAUGCGAGCGUUAUCCGGAUUUAUUGGGUUUAAAGGGUGCGCAGGCGGAAGAUCAAGUCAGCGGUAAAAUUGAGAGGCUCAACCUCUUCGAGCCGUUGAAACUGGUUUUCUGGAGUGAGUGAGAAGUAUGCGGAAUGCGUGGUGUAGCGGUGAAAUGCAAAGAUAUCACGCAGAACUCCGAUUGCGAAGGCAGCAUACCGGCGCUCAACUGACGCUCAUGCACGAAAGUGUGGGUAUCGAACAGGAUUAGAUACCCCAGUAGUC
This 459-nucleotide ribosomal RNA is filed under the name uncultured bacterium. RNAcentral describes it as "partial 16S ribosomal RNA". It matches the Rfam family "Bacterial small subunit ribosomal RNA", at positions 338 to 795 of the family's 1533-position model. The record is from RNAcentral.